Long non-coding RNA from Ictalurus punctatus (channel catfish), 7094 nucleotides. The record is from Ensembl. Lineage: Eukaryota; Metazoa; Chordata; Actinopteri; Siluriformes; Ictaluridae.
GUGGGGGGGGGUCAGUGUUGUGUGAUCUGUGUGAGAAAUAUACUAAUUGAAAUAUACUCAGCUUUAUUUUCUAAUUUUCUAAUUAGCUGAUGUUUUGUACCAUUGCUCCCCAAUUGUAGCACAUAUUGUAGACAGUAUAUCAAUGGCAUGCAGUAUGUUUGUGUUUUAAUUUUAACUUGGUGAAGUUAUACAAAUCUGCUUGAACUUAUUUCAGCUAUUCUGUUUCAGUGACAGAGGCAGACCUCUCACUGGUAACACUGCAAAACCUGCCUUGCCUCCAAACCAAGUUCUUAUUCAAACAAAAAGUGGUGUGCUCGAAUUUGAACUCGCGGCUGAAGCUGAUAAUUAGCCUGCAUGGAGUCAGCUUUGAUUGGCAUUGUAAUUGGAUUGUCAUUGGGCUGAAAACCUAUUAUCUUUGGAUCAUGCCCCAUGAAAUUUGUUGGAAAAACUUUGCUGCCAGUCAUUAGAGCGGCCAUCUUGGGCUUGCAAAUGAGGUUUAAAGGGAACAAGAUUGGUACCGCUGGGACCUUCAUUUCGCUGAGUCCCUCCACACAAUUCCAUUGGUAUUGAUUAAUGAUAUUAGCAUUGCAGGUGUCUGUUACAGCGUGCUGUGUUAUUGGCCAUUGCGUUGGACUGCUGCUGUUAGUGGGGGAGAGAUGAGUAGAGAUGGGGAGAGGGAGCAGAAUAAUGAGAGCGAAACCAGAGAGAAAAGGAGAGAGAGUGUGAAACUGUGGGUGACUUUUCAUUUGCACUUGUGUAUAAAAAGUAUUGGCCAUAUGUAUGUGUGCAGUGUGUUCUUUUAUACCGGAGUGUAUUGUAGCAAUAGACAGGGAGCUCAAUGCAACAGGAACAUAUAGUAUUUUGCAUACACCCCUUAAACACUUGUUCGUCGGUGUCUGUGUGCAUAUAUGUGUAAAACUGUGUGUGUUUAGAAGGUGUGAGCUCAUUCCCAUGUGCCUUACACAUAGCGAAGUGUGUUCUGAAACAAUAGGCUGUGAUGGUGACGCUUCCUCAGGUGUGCGUGGGUGUGUGAUUGGCUCCCUGCUCCAAGAGUUCUCACCUCACAUGCAGAUGGCACUGAAACAGACAUUCACACCCAUAGCCCCCUGCUCUCAGAACCCGAGCCGAAGAGACAGCCGCGUCCUCACGGAGACGCCAUCGGCAGCACACAGGAGGCGUGCGUGGAAAAAACGCCCUGUGGUGAAAAUGAUUAUUUUCUGUGAACUUGAGCAGAAUAGGCAUGAUGGAAUGUCAGGAAAAGUGCAGGCAGGUUAGUGGCUAGUCAGCUGAGGUUGGAGCUUAGGGAGUUUGUAAAUCACCAUACUGCUAUGCUGCAUUUAAUGACUGCUGUGUAACAAGUGUAUGCGCACUAAUCGCAGAGCAAUCUGUGCUCGCACACUUUCCAAAUUUAUAUCAGCACUGCCUGCGGUUGUAUCAGAAUAUACAUUUGAUGUGAACUGUGUACAAGCGCUGAUAAUGGGGAAUCAGGCGUAGAAGUGGAAAUUCAGGAAGUGUUAUUUUUUGCCUUAAGCUGUGUAACAGAAACCAAUCACAGAGAUCUUCUUGAGACACCACUUAGAUAAUGAUUGUGAGCUGUAUUGCUUUAAUUGUUUUGGUAAAUUAAUUAGACCAUUGUAUGUGUGUAUGUGUUAGUAUGUGUGCGUGUGUGUGUAUUUCAAUUUCCUUCAUGUGGUCCAGCUGAGUGAUGCCAUAGUUGCAGUGUUACUCUGUAGCUUGACACUAGUAUCAGCCUCUCCUUCACUGUAUGCAGCUACACAAUAACAGCUGAUCAGCCUGCUGUUGUCUUGAUUUGCAUGCUAUGGACGCAUCAUUAUUCACAACAUUUGAUGUCUAUAAAACACAUUAGAACUGUUUCCUUGAGCAAAAUAUUAUGGGCCUGCAAUAGCAGACAUCAUUUGUCUACCCAAAUUGUAAAAUGUAAAUUGAUAUGUAGGAACAUGGUCCAUUAACUUUUUCAUUAAUGCUUAUAAUGCAUUUGGAGGGUCGUGUGAGCAGAGAGUGUGCGCAUGUUCAUUUUAGUAGAGAAGAGGGUGGGGACUGUCAUACACACAGUCUACUUACACACAAAAUGCAUCACACAGUCUACAUACACACAGAAUUCAUCACACAGUCUACAUACAGAAUUCAUCACACAGUCUACAUACACACAGAAUACAUCACACAGUCUACAUACACACAGAAUUCAUCACACAGUCUACAUACACACAGAAUUCAUCACACAGUCUACAUACACACAGAAUACAUCACACAGUCUACAUACACACAGAAUUCAUCACACAGUCUACAUACACACAGAAUUCAUCACACAGUCUACAUACACACAGAAUUCAUCACACAGUCUACAUACACACAGAAUACAUCACACAGUCUACAUACACACAGAAUUCAUCACACAGUCUACAUACACACAGAAUACAUCAUAGUCUACAUACACACAGAAUGCAUCACACAGAAUACAUCACACAGUCUACAUACACACAGAAUACAUCACAGUUUGUAUACACACAGAAUUCAUCACACAGUCUACAUACACACAGAAUUCAUCACACAGUCUACAUACACACAGAAUUCAUCACACAGUCUAUACAUACAGAGAAUUCAUCACAGUUUGUAUACACACAGAAUACAUCACAGUCUGUAUACAAACAGAAUACAUCACAGUCUGUAUACACACAGAAUACAUCACAGUCUACAUACACAGAAUUCAUAACACAGUCUACAUACACACAGAAUACAUCACAGUUCGCAUACACACUGAAUACAUCACACAGUCUAAAUACUGCAUACAGUCUUGGUGGGGCUACAUUCAUAUUUCCCCACACUUCAUUGGAGAGUAUGUUCACUAUGAUCAGAAAGCUGGUGCUGAGUAGUGGAUAGUUAGUCUGUUGAUGCGUCAUAACCAUGCGUCAUAACCUCUUCUGGUUCAUCCACAUUAUGGCAUUAAGGCAGGCUGUGGUGUUUAUGGCUCCUCCAACUGCUACAAGAGACUCGGCAUGGAGCUUCUCUACAGUGAGCAUCUUUAACCUCAUGCUGUUGCCUUUGAAUGAACUUAGCAUGACGUACUUUGACAUCAGGAUCAGAUCAGAGUUGGAUUAGAUGCUACUAGUCCUGUCCUACCCCCUUGCUCUACAUGAGCGUAAUAUUCUUUGUACACCGGUGAUGACACAUCGACUAAUUUGACCUGACAUUCACAUUUUUGUUGGCAGGACUCUUGCUGUAACCCUCUUUUCUGUUUUCUGCAUGUGCACACAUGCAUAUGAAAUAUAGAUACCUGUAUUAUAUUGCAUGUUUGAACAUAUAAUGAUAUGCCUUGCAAACCACUGGCAAAAAGUAUCCAAACCUUUGCCUGUGUGCAAUGUAUUGCAUGCGGCCAGGGCAUACUACAAGAGAAAAAUAUAACGGGAAAAAACAACAACGAUAUGCCAGAUGAAUGUAGAUCAGUGUAAUUAACCCCCGAUAAAAUAAGCAGGUGAAAAAUAAAAUAAAUCUGAGGCUUAUCAGAGAAAACUGACAAAACAGACAGCAGCAAGCGGCUGAGUAACUGUUGGCCUAGCAACCGUCAGAGCCAGUCAUUGCCACCCUGCUGUACAAUGAUCGAUUUUCUUUAAUUUUCUGCCGCAUCCUCCAAGAGACAGUGAGAGCGAGAGCGAGAAGAGAGAGAGAGAGAGAGAGAGAGAGAGAGAGAGAGAGAAAAUGAAUAAAUAUGGGAGGAGAGGCUAUCUGUAACCCAUCGCUUCAUCUUACUAUGUGCUGUUCUACUCCUGUCUAUUAAAUUUACUGGUGAGGAGCAAGACAUUAACCAAAAAAAAAAAAAAGUGCUACAGAUAAUGUGGACAUUUUCAUGCAUAAUCUGUAAUAUGAGAAAUGUAUUAAUAGGGAAAUUAUUGUGCAUUCAAUUAUUUUGGAAUGGCUGGCAGAGAUGUUUUGAUUUGGCAGUUUGCUGAUAGCGCUGUCGCAGCAGGGAGCUUCUUGAGUGAUGAAUAACUUAAUCUGCUAAUCUGCAAAUGGGCAGCGAUCAACAGGCCCCGUUGCUGAGCGCCCAAUCAAAUUAAAGUACCAGAGGAUGACAGACGAGAGUGGGAGAGAUGCGGAAAUAAGAGAUAGAUAAACAAAUAGAAUCAUAAAGCAGACGGUUUUAAAACGACAUAAUUCCGCUGCCUUCAUUAGAUCCAGAGAGCAAAAUAAAACAAUGAGAGAUAAAGUGGCAGGGACAUUACCUUUAAUGUGUGUGUGUCGUGUGGCGCGUUUAAUGAGCUGGCAGGGCUGCUUUAAAUAGGCUUUUAUGCGUGACUCGGGAAGAAAUCAAACACUGGAGCUUUAAUCAAUCUCAGAAAAGCCUGUAAGCUGCAGAGAACACAGUCUAGCAGAUACCUGUCAGAGGGAUGGGGUACUAACAAGUGACGUGUGUGUGUAUAUGUGUGUGUGUGUGUGUGCAUGUGUGCACAUGUACAUGCUUUCUUACACACAUUGUUCUCUUAAUAUUGAUAGGGAAUGUGAAUAUUCGCACAUCAUAGAGCUGCCAUGUUGGCUUCUGUAAAUACUGUACAGCUAUUAUUUACAAAAUAAAUACACAAAAUAAAUAAAAUAAAUAAAAUUUUAAUUCUCUUUGAUUAAAUUUACACUUAGUUAGAUGUAUGUGUAAGGGCUUUUUUCUAUUUAACUAUUUAAUAAUAAUAAGAAGAAAGGUGUGUGUGUGUGUGUGUGUGUGUGUGUGUGUGUGUGUGUGUGUGUGUGUGUGUGUGUGUGUGUGAGACCGACAGUGAGGGCACAGUGUUGAUGACCGCUGAUUGAAGGCAUACUAUCGACUCAGGUCACCAACCUUGAAUGUUGAAGCCUCUGUCCUCAACAAAAUAUCAUGACUUUGAGAAUAUCCACAAUUUGUUCUGAAAGUUCUAUAGUAAGGAAUAAAAAAAACAAAACAACAGAACAUGCUGUUAUGACGGGGUGGUGUGAUGUGUUACCACCCCAAAGUUUCCUCUAACAGCACAUGCUGAAGUGUUUUAUUCCUCUUAUACCUGAGCGGUUCAUGAAGGUUCACAUUUUUAAAAGAAUUAAACAAUGACAUAUACUUUUCAUUCAUUUAUAGUUAUGUUUCAUGUUGUGGAAUGUCUCUCUAUUGAAGCUAACAGAGAGGAAAGGUUUCUGAGUCUGGAAAAUGAAUGUUAUAGCUUUUAAACUUACUGACACUCACAGAACACUUCACUAUAUCAAUGACUGUACACAUUUUUUAAUCUGUUCAUAUGGAGCUUUAUUAUAAACUUUGGCAGCCAGAACAACCACCAGAGCCAGUGUUAUAACAUUUUCUGACCAAUCAGACUUGAGCUUUUGACAAGUGCUUGAUUUAUGCUUAUUCCUUUCAUUUAGAUACACAUCUAUUCUAUGUGUAUGAUAAACACACAAAGAAGUGCACUUUUUGAGUGUAAUAAUGCAAGGUUCAAAACAUCACUUGAUGAAUCAGAUCCCUAAACAAACCAGGAGUAAUAACAAUCCCAAUUACAAUUUAAGAUUCUCUAAAGUCCUCCUGUGAUCCUUUCACUUUUUUUAUUAGUUAGGUGCUAAUGUGAUUUUUCUCUUUAUAUGUUUUGCAGUUUGACUUUUUUGUGCUUUUUUCCCCCUAAUCAUUGUUGUGCUUCUCCGUACAUCAUUUGUAGAGCGAGAUGAAACAGAUGGUCAUACUUCCCCCUCUUCUCUUCCGCCAUGUACGUGGGAGAAAAUGGUGCUGUUGCAGUAUUGAUAUUCACAGUUGGAAAAGAGAGGCAGACUAAUUCUCCAUAUUGAGUAAAGGUUUAGGUGUUAGGCAUUUGUUUUUUUUUUGUGUGUGUGUUUUUUUUCCCUGAUGGGUGCUUUUUGUGAGUGAGAGCGCUUCUCCUCAUCCCAUGUUGUUAGAGGAGUUAAUGAAAUAAAUGUGAGAGCGGAGAUAGGAAUUCUCCUAUUUUCUGCUUCCUACUGUUUUCCCCAUUGCCUGGCCCAGGCUGUUAAUUUAGGAGCGAAGCAGAUAAAUUAGAGUCAUGUGGUCAUAUGCGAUAUUUGUUUUUGCUACACAGCUGCAGGUACCCAUAAAACGCUUGGAAAUGUAUUUGAUUUCGACCAAGGCCCCUCGUUUUAAUUUACCAAUCUCGUUGCUUCUCUUCACACAACCAGAGUUGGCUAAUUAUUUGAUCUCCUUAAAAAUAAACGUUCUUUUUUUUCUGGAUUCUCUUGUGUGGCUAACAGCCUCUACAAAUAGGCAAGAGCAGGUUUCUUGAUUCUCUCUCUAUUGCUGACAAUUUCCCUCUCCUGGUUAACUCCCUGUGAAAGCAAUUUGCCCCAUACUCAGGGAAGGUAAUGAGCAGAUGGUACCAUUGUAAAUGAUGAUGCGCCCAUAAUAAAGAGUUGAUAAACAUGGAAUUACUACUGGGCGGUGGGCGCUAAACAGUGUGGUCGGCAGAGAUGCCUGGAACAUUGAGGGCAGCCCCUGAGCCUCAUGGUAUCCUGUGCCAGAUCUCGAACAGUUUGCUGUGUGCAUCGCAAACAACGUGUCUGCUCCAUACACACCAUCUGAAAGACGAUGCAUUUUAAAAGGGUGGGAUUCAAGAUUGCCCAGUUAUCCACCAGUCCUAUUACAGUGCUAUAACCUGGUAUAUGUUUUUUUUUUUUUCAGAAUUUCCAAGAAAUAAACACGUUCUUAUUAUUCUACCUAGGUGUUAGAUGUUUUGGUGUAAUGUCUUGCUGUUCUUGAAAGUAUGUGUGUGUGUCUCGGUUGUUGUUAAGAAGCCAACUGUCAGUAUGUAUGUAUGAAUUUUUAUGUGUGACAUUGAAGUAACACCUAACAAUAUAAUAUGUAACCCAAACUUAAAUAAACUUAAACUGCACAGAAGCUCUAUGUGUGAACCAUUGCUGUUAUUCGUGGCCACCAACAUCUCUUUCAUGUGCUACUGCUUGAAUUGUUUUGGCCUGAAUCCCAGCAGAAACACUCGCCAUGCCUGGAUAUAAGUGCCCACUAAUUUUCUUUUGGAUCUUGGGCCUUGAUGUUGAAUGUGUAGGCGUGUGUGUGUGUGUGUGUGUGUGUGUGUGUGUGUGUGUGUAUGUGUGUG